RNAcentral lists this ribosomal RNA (119 nucleotides) under Pteropus alecto (black flying fox). The record is from RNAcentral. Lineage: Eukaryota; Metazoa; Chordata; Mammalia; Chiroptera; Pteropodidae.
GUCUCCGGCCACGCCACCCUGAACGCGCCCGAUCCCGUCCGAUCUCGGAAGCUAAGCAGGGUCGGGCCUGGUUAGCACUUGGAUGGGAGGCCACCUAGGAAGACUAGGUUCUGUAGGCA